RNAcentral lists this small RNA (342 nucleotides) under Arabidopsis thaliana (thale cress). RNAcentral describes it as "ATSL157240". Lineage: Eukaryota; Viridiplantae; Streptophyta; Magnoliopsida; Brassicales; Brassicaceae. The record is from RNAcentral.
ACUAAUUACGAUAAGAGCAGGAAUUAGUUAAAAUUGCUUAUUGUCUUCAAAGAUAGAAACUGACAACUAUUUACAUACUCUUAUGUAGGUCAACAGAAUGGUGAACACCACAAAAAGCCAGAUAUUUUGGAAACCUGAAUUAGAAGCAGACACUUAUGCAAGUAAAUAACCCAACCAUUUCUUACUCAAGUCAACAAUAUGGUUUUUUCACCACAAUUUAUCUAACAUUAAACCUAAUACAAGUUUCCAAACAUUAAAAUUCCAUUAGGUGAAAAUGAAGAAUUCGAAGAAAAGAAGUGCAAAAUGCGAAACAAAGAAGCACCUCAGACAAAUAUAUUUCAA